AAUGGAUAAUCCAAUGUGAAAAUUUAAUGCAAAUGAUCAAAGUUAAAUUCAUCUUAUAAUAUUUUAUUGUUAUAUAAUAAAAAAAUAGCUAUUCUAAUGUGGAGAUUUAUGUGAAUAGAAUAAUCAAAAGUCAAAUUCGUCUUAUAUUCAUUAAAAGUGUUCUUUAACUUUGUAUAAUCCAUUGAGGAUGUUCUAAGAUGAUGAAGUUUUAUAAUAAAGGGUAGCAUGUAGUUGGUGGUUGAUGAACAGGUAAUUAUUUUCUCAUGCAACAAUGGUACUACCCUAGCUACUAAUAUUUAUAUGUAUAUAUAAAGUAAUAUUAGAUACAGUCGUUAUGGUUAUGUAAGUGCCACGCAUUUUUUUGAAAAAAAAAGUAGUCUAUCAAUAAAAAAUUAAUUUUUUAUAUAAAUAUCAUAUUUAUUUACUUUUUUAAAAAGUAAUGCGCAACAUUUGUACACUCUAUGACUGUAAAUAUCAUAUAAAUAUGCUGGUUAGUUGAAGAAAACCUCUUAAUUUUAAUUUUUUGGUUUGCAAAUUUGGUUAAUUUAUAGAGGUAACAGGUUGAAGAAAAUUAAUAUGAUCAAGUUCCUCCUGGAAGUACCUACGUACCGUAUAUUCAUGACUCAUGAGCUGGUCCUGCCCUCCAAAUGAGCAUGCGCAUCAUGCUGUAGAUCCAAAUUAAUUUCAAUUGCUUUGCUCAUCUUGGCAAAGGUGCUUCACCACAAGAGAGCCUUUGGUUAUCUCUAGAUGUGGAGCAAGUGCAGAUUACCCUAGUUGUACAAACCUAGCAUAUACACAAGCUAUUACAGAUGGCGUAGAGGUACUUGACUGCCCUCUUCAAUUGGCAAAGGGUGGGACACCAUUUUACUAAUGAGUACCGACGAGAUGCUCUUUUACUAGAGCGAAAUUACCAGAAAUUUGAACUUCUGGAUCGGCAGUUUUGGGAAGUGGGUGUUGAUGCUCAUGCGAGAUUAAAGAAGACUCCAUUACGCGAAGGCGAUGGCUGCAGUUUUCUGUAACAGGUUUCAUUGGAAGGGAAAAGUCUUAUUGGCUGUACUUAAAGACGGAGGAGGGUAAGAAAUAGAGGACUUAACCGGUUUUUUUUUUUUUCAAAUAUCAGCUGAUGUGAUGUCAUGCCACGUCAGUCGACUGCAUAGCGUCUAUAUGGGACGACUAUGUAUAGAAGAACUGAUUUCUAAAUGCGCAUGAAGUAGCAACUUUCCCGAGGCUCGACCAUCA
Long non-coding RNA from Carya illinoinensis, 1239 nucleotides. RefSeq lists it as uncharacterized. The transcript has 3 exons. Lineage: Eukaryota; Viridiplantae; Streptophyta; Magnoliopsida; Fagales; Juglandaceae. The record is from RefSeq and is a predicted model, not a curated record.